This 510-nucleotide ribosomal RNA is filed under the name uncultured bacterium. RNAcentral describes it as "partial 16S ribosomal RNA". It matches the Rfam family "Bacterial small subunit ribosomal RNA", at positions 28 to 507 of the family's 1533-position model. The record is from RNAcentral.
GACGAACGCUGGCGGCGUGCUUAACACAUGCAAGUCGAACGAAGAGCGAUGGAAGCUUGCUUCUAUCAAUCUUAGUGGCGAACGGGUGAGUAACGCGUAAUCAACCUGCCCUUCAGAGGGGGACAACAGUUGGAAACGACUGCUAAUACCGCAUACGAUCUAAUCUCGGCAUCGAGGAUAGAUGAAAGGUGGCCUCUACAUGUAAGCUAUCACUGAAGGAGGGGAUUGCGUCUGAUUAGCUAGUUGGAGGGGUAACGGCCCACCAAGGCGAUGAUCAGUAGCCGGUCUGAGAGGAUGAACGGCCACAUUGGGACUGAGACACGGCCCAGACUCCUACGGGAGGCAGCAGUGGGGAAUCUUCCGCAAUGGACGAAAGUCUGACGGAGCAACGCCGCGUGAGUGAUGACGGCCUUCGGGUUGUAAAGCUCUGUUAAUCGGGACGAAAGGCCUUCUUGUGAAUAGGGAGAAGGAUUGACGGUACCGGAAUAGAAAGCCACGGCUAACUACGUG